This 64-nucleotide transfer RNA is filed under the name Longitarsus cerinthes. RNAcentral describes it as "tRNA-Gly". Lineage: Eukaryota; Metazoa; Arthropoda; Insecta; Coleoptera; Chrysomelidae. The record is from RNAcentral.
AUUUAUAUAGUAUAAAAAUUACAUUUGAUUUCCAAUCAAAAAAUCUAAAUUAUUAGUAUAAAUA